This 216-nucleotide long non-coding RNA is filed under the name Phoenix dactylifera (date palm). RNAcentral's name for it is "long non-coding RNA (PDAC_LNC020523)". Lineage: Eukaryota; Viridiplantae; Streptophyta; Magnoliopsida; Arecales; Arecaceae. The record is from RNAcentral.
AAUGGUAUUUUCCUUUUAUAUAAAUGUUCAAAAAAUCCAUCAUAGUCCUACUUUAUUUCGUGUGAUCAUAUGUGGUGCAGUUAAAUGGUCUUAGACGAAAUGAAACUAAUCUUUCAGUCGCUACCUCCCUUUGUUGCUGGUUUCAGUUGUCCAAUUUGUAUGCUAUUUGGUAUUUUGCCAGUUUAUGUUUUGGUCAAGCUGGAUAUUUCUUUCCUC